This 1161-nucleotide long non-coding RNA is filed under the name Homo sapiens (human). RNAcentral describes it as "HSALNT0063837". Lineage: Eukaryota; Metazoa; Chordata; Mammalia; Primates; Hominidae. The record is from RNAcentral.
GCUCAUGUCUAUUACCUGGAUCUCCUUCUGCUUCAUCUUGGUGCUGGUUGUCUCUUUCAUAGGCUAGCAAAUCAAAGGAACUAAAAUCAGCCCAAAAUGAAUCAAACAGGAUUUCCCUUUCAACUCAAAGAAAAGCCACCAGUGGACUUUUCUACAGACUACAAUACCUCCACCUCUGUUAACUCAACAUAAGGCCUAUGUCCUGGCUUUUCUGAAUAAGGUUAUGUUCUCUUCACAGACUGUGUGUCUAGAGAGAUGAUAUGGGUCAGACACUUUUCUUCUAAAAUAAAUAUUUUUCACAGGAGCUGUAAUUUUUCCCCCAUAUGCAAGAAAACAACAACAAUCAAAACUCUCUCAAUAAAAGAAAGCCCAGUUGAUUGGACACUGCUGAAGAAAUCAACUAAUGUUUGAUAAUAUCAGAGGAAGUAGCUGGGCUCCAAAAGAAGAAAUUGAUAGUUUCAGGAAAUGCAAGGAAGAACUGCCCCAUCUGUGGAGCUCAGAAACAAAUAUAGCCCAUCACAUGUUUUCUGAUGUCAUCACAGUAAUGAUGAUGACCGCCACAGCCCAGAAACAGCACACAUUCAUACUCAGACAUUUACUUGCUGCUUUUUGAAAAAAUAUUUAGAUAAAGAGAAUUGUAUGAGCACAAAAAGAGAAGAACAAAUCACUUUUUAAAACAAGUAAGAUAGAAGAGGAAAGUUUAAGUAUAUGGAGUGUACUAAGCCUAGAGAAAAUGAUGAUACGGGGUAACUUACCAUCAGCCUUCAAGUGCACAAAGGGGUUUACUACAUAGAGAAGAGGACAAGCCAUUCUCUAGUCUUACUGAUAUGAGAACAAAAAAGCUUAAAGUGCCACAUGGCGGACAUAAGGAAAACAAUUUCUUGACUGUAAGAGCUGUAAGAUAUCACAACGGGCUAUUGAGGGAGGUUGUAUGUAAUCACUUUCUUUCUGACUUUUUAGAAAAAGAUACACAUCUAAGUGUUAGUGGUGCCAGAGAGACAGUAAGUUACAUUCUGGUUCUAUUAUAACAGUAAGCAAUAUUUGAUAAAUUACAUAUUAAGUGCUUAUCAUAAAUGAAAGCUACUAUUGACUUAAUUUGAAAACAUUUUAAGGCAAUGAUGUGAGGACUUCCAAGGUAAGGAGAAAAUGCAGAUGUUUCCC